Molecule: ribosomal RNA, 406 nt
Filed under: uncultured bacterium
Lineage: Bacteria
Description: partial 16S ribosomal RNA
Rfam family: Bacterial small subunit ribosomal RNA
Source: RNAcentral
AUUGAACGCUGGCGGCAGGCUUAACACAUGCAAGUCGAGCGAGAGGCGGACGGGUGAGUAGUGUCUGGGAAACUGCCUGAUGGAGGGGGAUAACUACGGGAAAAGGUAGAUAAUACCGCAUACCAUCAGAUGGGCCCAGAUGGGAGUAGCUAGUAGGUGGGGGAAUGGCUCACCUAGGCGACAAUCCCUAGCUGGCCUGAGAGGAUGAACAGCCACACUGGAACUGAGCCACGGCCCAGACUCCUACGGGAGGCAGCAGUGGGGAAUAUUGCACAAUGGGCGCAAGCCUGAUGCAGCCAUGCCGCGUGUGUGAAGAAGGCCUUCGGGUUGUAAAGCACUUUCAUCGAGGAGGCGUUACUCGCAGAAGAAGCACCGGCUAACUCCGUGCCAGCAGCCGCGGUAAUUC